UGAUCUUCUUGAGUCGCCGCCACACAGUGCCACACGUGACACUGCACAGGGCACCCAUAUCCGGAAACCCAGUAUUUACAGCCUGUUUCACUGUUCUGCAAAGAAAUUACUGAUCAUCUGCCUGUCUGUUGCAUCUCAAGUACACAAGAAUGACAGUUCAGAAAAAAUACAACAAAUGACCCAGAAUUGUAAGAGUUAUUUUAAAAGAUUUGUUAUUAUAGGUGGUGUGUCAUCAACAGCAUGCUGUGGUGAAGGGCAUUAUUGUGGUAGGCAAUGGAUUGGAUGUAUGGAGUAACCAGGAGGCUUACGAUGGCCUUGAAUGAUAGCACCAGAUGAAAGCUGUCUUGAUAAGUACAGUUCAUCGGAGGCCUUCGAAAUCCUAGAUCUUGGCACUGCAUGCAGUAGUUGACUUUGGAAGUCCCAGAGAGACUGAACCCUUCUAAGUUUCUCAAAAAGUGCUAUAUAUGCAGAUAAGGCUUGGACUCGGAUUGAGUGGUGGUGCUUUACGUGGACAAGGCUUGGACUGGGAUUGAGAGCUGGUACUUAAUAUGUGGAUAAGGCUUGGAUUUGGAAGUGAUGCUGUACGUGUGUAAGGCUUGGACUGGGAUUGAGAGCUGGUACUUAAUACGUGGAUAAGGCUUGGAUUUGGAAGUGAUGCUGUACGUGUGUAAGGCUUGGACUCGGUUUGAGAUGUGGUGCUGUAAGUGGAUAAGGCUUGCACUCAGAUUGAGAGGUGGUGCUUUACGUGGAUAAGGCUCUACGCCGAAACGGCUUUUUCUCAAUAGCAACUGUUAGGAUGAUACAGAUGAUCAUUUUCAAUGAUGUCUACUAAACCACACCAACGACAGAUGGAUAGCGGCAGGUGUGUGCAUCUUACCUUUGGCAGCACCAGUAAUAACCUAUACAACAAUUGUUUGUUGUUAUAAGUUUACGUUGGAAGGCAAGAGAAAAUAUGAAAAGGACUUAGCGUAUGCUGCUAACAGUCACUGUAAAUAAAUUAAAAAUUGUACGAGAUACCACAAUGUUGUUUGACAGCUGAUACUGUAAUAUCAUGUAGUGGAGUCAAGCUUGGUGGUCAAGAUACUUGCCAUUCAAAUCCCUGGGUUCAAAUCCCAGCGCAGGACUUUUUUUUACGACAAAAAAAUAACUCCACUCCUCCCUAAGCCUCAUAAUGAGACUUUGCAGAAUAAUGAACACUUGUUUCAUUAUAUCUUUUAAUUUUGAUUUGUUCAAAUGCAAGUUAAAAAAAUAUGUUAAUGAUAUUUAAUUGUUCUUUUUUGUUUAUCAUUAUUAUUAUUCCAUUAUUAUCUUAUUAUUAUUAAUAUUUUUAUUAUUAUUAUUAUUUUAUUUCUUUAUUUUUAUUUUUUUCUGGGAGCAGCACAUCUCUUAGAUGACAGUGGUUUCGCUUUUGCUGCUCCCUGGCUCACCUGAUUUUCUUUGUUUGUGAAUUUCCGAUUUCUUGUAUUUGUAAUGUUUUAUUGUUUAAAGAAUUUAUACAGAAUGAAUAAAAUAAAAUAAAAAAUAAAUAAAAUAAAGGAAAAGUACAAUUCCUGAAUAAUAACAAAAAUAAUAAUGAUCAUAAUAUGCAUAAAUAAUAAACAAACUUACAUUUGAAUUGUAGACGAAAUAAAAUUCUAUCAUCCAUUAAUGAUGCACCCACAACUAAACCAUCAUAAGAAAAGCUGAGUACAGGUCAAAAAUAGUAAACCAUCCAUGUAAGAAAAUGAAAUACAAGAAAAGAAUACAAUAUGUAACAUUAAUUUCAAUUUCCAAACAGAGUGCGCCUGAAUAUCAGCUGACCUUGUAGGACACACAGGAAUGGUUACAUCACCCUCUCUAUAUAAUCUG
Molecule: long non-coding RNA, 1848 nt
Organism: Anneissia japonica
Lineage: Eukaryota; Metazoa; Echinodermata; Crinoidea; Comatulida; Comatulidae
Exons: 5
Source: RefSeq, a predicted model, not a curated record